AUACGUAGGUGGCGAGCGUUGUUCGGAUUUAUUGGGCGUAAAGGGUCUGUAGGAGGUUCGUUAAAUGUGGGGUGAAAUCCGGGAGCUCAACUCCCGAACUGCCCUGUAGACUGAUGAACUUGAGUAUUGGAGAGGUAAGCGGAAUACCAAGUGUAGCGGUGGAAUGCGUAGAUAUUUGGUAGAACACCAAGAGCGAAGGCAGCUUGCUGGACAAAUACUGACUCUGAGAGACGAAAGCGUGGGGAGCAAACAGGAUUAGAUACCCUGGUAGUCCACGCCGUAAACGUUGUCAACUUGAUGUGGGGGGAUUUAGUCCCCUCCGUAUCGAAGCUAACGCGAUAAGUUGACCGCCUGGGGACUACGGCCGCAAGGCUAAA
This 377-nucleotide ribosomal RNA is filed under the name uncultured bacterium. RNAcentral's name for it is "bacterial SSU rRNA". It matches the Rfam family "Bacterial small subunit ribosomal RNA", at positions 523 to 898 of the family's 1533-position model. The record is from RNAcentral.